RNAcentral lists this long non-coding RNA (830 nucleotides) under Gallus gallus (chicken). RNAcentral's name for it is "lncRNA (ENSGALG00010012507.1)". Lineage: Eukaryota; Metazoa; Chordata; Aves; Galliformes; Phasianidae. The record is from RNAcentral.
CUGAGAUCAGGACAUCUCGCACUGAUGAAUAUCUCUUCAUUGCCUCUGUGCACUUCCCCAUUGACUGACCGCUGUGCCCGGCCUUACACCCGUGCUGCACACACGCCGCCCUUUUGUUCUGUUUGUGCUGAGUAUAAUGGAACCUGCGUCCUUGCCUGAGAUCUCAAAGGCUUUCUGUAAUUAAACGCUUAAGAGGUAGCCAUGGUAUGGAGGACAGUCUGACUAACCCUAUGUGACCCUUCCAACCUGGAUGGACCUUCAUCUAUCAAGUUCCACAUCCUUGUACCUUGUAUAAAGACACCUUGGAGGGUGAGAGGCCCUGAUCAACACCUUGGUCACUGCACAAGUACAGAGGAAGGAUCAGUCACAGACAGCAGGCAAAUCUUAACACCGCUGGAAAAGGGAUACCGAGCAACCUUGUUUGGCCAGCAUUGCAGGAGCAGAAAGUCUACAGUGACAGAGGCAAUGGAGUCUCCUGAGACUUGCAAAAACUGGUCACUGCUGUGUGUAGGUGUGCAUUUAAUUGCACCCUGAGGUAUCAGCCUUCUUCCAACAGAGGUCUGGGCUCUCCUCAGUACCAAAAUGGGCCUCUUACAGUCAGCUGGCAUAUCUGUUCUCUAGCCCGCUUCAGGGUUGCUCUUAAGUUACACUGAGGCUGAAAUUGGAGGGACGAAGAUAUCUGGCACAAGACACAGCAAGAAAACAUCAUCUGGGCUAAGAGAAGAUUUAUUAAAGGAAUGCCUUUCAAAGACCAUCAAAAGGCAUCUCAUUGGUAUGUAACGGUAAGUAUUUAAGGAGUAAGAAUAGUUAUGUAUCAAAUGAAAUAAACG